RNAcentral lists this ribosomal RNA (376 nucleotides) under uncultured organism. RNAcentral describes it as "bacterial SSU rRNA". It matches the Rfam family "Bacterial small subunit ribosomal RNA", at positions 526 to 896 of the family's 1533-position model. The record is from RNAcentral.
CAGAGGUCGUCAAGCGUUGUUCGGAUUCAUUGGGCGUUAAAGGGUGUGUAGGUGGCGCGCUAAGUCGGGUAGUGAAAUUUCGGAGCUUAACUCCGAAACUGCUAUUCGAUACUGGCGUGCUUGAGGACUGGAGAGGAGACUGGAAUUUACGGUGUAGCAGUGAAAUGCGUAGAUAUCGUAAGGAAGACCAGUGGCGAAGGCGGGUCUCUGGACAGUUCCUGACACUGAGACACGAAGGCCAGGGGAGCAAACGGGAUUAGAUACCCCGGUAGUCCUGGCAGUAAACGGUGCACGUUUGGUGUGGGAGGAUUCGACCCCUUCUGCGCCGGAGCUAACGCGUUAAACGUGCCGCCUGGGGAGUACGGUCGCAAGAUUA